AACGCGAAGAACCUUACCAAGGCUUGACAUGGGGAAGACUGCACGAGAGAUCGUGCUUCUCUAGCAAUAGAGCUUCCCACACAGGUGCUGCAUGGCUGUCGUCAGCUCGUGUCGUGAGAUGUUGGGUUAAGUCCCGCAACGAGCGCAACCCUCGUUUCUAGUUGCCAUCAUUCAGUUGGGCACUCUAGAGAGACUGCCGCGAAUAACGCGGAGGAAGGUGAGGACGACGUCAAGUCAUCAUGGCCCUUACGUCUUGGGCUACACACGUGCUACAAUGGGCGUUACAAAGGGUCGCAAGAGCGCAAGCUGGAGCCAAUCCCCAAAAGCGCCCUCAGUUCAGAUUGAGGUCUGCAACUCGACCUCAUGAAGGUGGAAUCGCUAGUAAUCGCGGAUCAGAACGCCGCGGUGAAUACGUUCCCGGGCCUUGUACACACCGACGCGUA
Molecule: ribosomal RNA, 443 nt
Filed under: uncultured bacterium
Lineage: Bacteria
Description: bacterial SSU rRNA
Rfam family: Bacterial small subunit ribosomal RNA
Source: RNAcentral